AGCCCAUUAGCUAGCUCAAAACCCAAAAUACAACAACCCACCAUACAUAACCCCGCAUAACCCAACAUGCCCUAAUAAAUCAAAUCAUUUUCCCCCCCAAGUACGGGCGAUAGAAAAGGACCUACGAAGCGAUAGCUAUAGUACCGCAAGGGAACGCUGAAAGAGAAGUGAAACAAGUCAGUAAAGCAUAAAAAAGCAGAGUUUAACCCUCGUACCUUUUGCAUCAUGGUUUAGCAAGAAAGCAUCAAGCACAGAGCCCUUUAGUUUGACUCCCCGAAACCAAGUGAGCUACUCCAAGACAGCCUUAUAGGGCGAACCCGUCUCUGUGGCAAAAGAGUGGGAAGAGCUUUGAGUAGAGGUGACAGACCCAUCGAACUCGGUUAUAGCUGGUUGUCCAAGAAUUGAACAGGAGUUCAGCCUUUUGCCCUCUUCACCCACAUCUGGCUACAACACCAAGCCCCCGAGAGGACCAAAGAGUUAAUCAAAGGGGGCACAGCCCCUUUGAAAAAGACACAACUUUUACCAGAAGGGUUAAGAUCAUAACACAACUAAGGGACUGUGUUCUAGUUGGCCUAAGAGCAGCCACCCAUUCAGAAAGCGUUAAAGCUCAUGCACCCCCUUCCCCCUAUUAUCCGGACCACCCCAUCUUACCCCCCUAAACAUAUUGGACCUCCCCAUACCACUAUGGGAGAGACUAUGCUAAUAUGAGUAAUAAGAGACCCAGACUCUCUCCAAGCAUAAGUGUACAUCGGAUCGAACCGACACCGAGAACUAACGGCCCCAAGAAAUGAGGGAACUGGAGCAUAAUGGCUAAACCACUAGAAAAACGUCCACACCCUGACCGUUAACCUUACACCAGAAUGCAUUCAAGGAAAGACUAAAAGAGAAAGAAGGAACUCGGCA
RNAcentral lists this ribosomal RNA (903 nucleotides) under Apogonichthyoides brevicaudatus. Its description in RNAcentral is "partial 16S ribosomal RNA". The stretch from base 194 to 903 matches the Rfam family "Bacterial large subunit ribosomal RNA", at positions 568 to 1719 of the family's 2925-position model. The record is from RNAcentral. Lineage: Eukaryota; Metazoa; Chordata; Actinopteri; Kurtiformes; Apogonidae.